RNAcentral lists this ribosomal RNA (405 nucleotides) under uncultured bacterium. RNAcentral's name for it is "partial 16S ribosomal RNA". It matches the Rfam family "Bacterial small subunit ribosomal RNA", at positions 28 to 526 of the family's 1533-position model. The record is from RNAcentral.
GACGAACGCUGGCGGCGUGCCUAAUACAUGCAAGUCGAGCGAAGCGGGGACGGGUGAGUAACACGUAGAUAACCUCCUAUAAGACGGGGAUAACAUCCGGAAACGGGUGCUAAACCGGAUACUUAUCGAUGGCCUCUCGGUGCAUUAGCUCGUUGGUUGGUUAACGGCUUACCAAGGCAACGAUGCAUAGCCGACCUGAGAGGGUGAUCGGCCACACUGGAACGGAGACACGGUCCAGACUCCGACGGGAGGCAGCAGUAGGGAAUCUUCCGCAAUGGGCGAAAGCCUGACGGAGCAACGCCGCGUGAGUGAUGAAGGUCUUCGGAUCGUAAAGCUCUGUUGUUAGGGAAGCGGUACCUAAUCAGAAAGCCACGGCUAACUACGUGCCAGCCGCCGCGGUAAUAC